AGGUGUAAUAGCUUGAAAUAAAUAAUAUAUGUAGAAUUCAAAAUGAGUAAUAGUUUAAAUAUAUAUAAUAUGUAAAAGAAAAAAUGAUUUGAAAUAAAUAAUAUAUAAACUUAAAAUGAAUAAUAAUAAUAGUUUUUUUAAAUGAAAAAACUAAAUAAAUAAAUCAAUUAAACAGACUAAGGAUUAGGCUGAAAUAGAAUUAAAAUUUAAGGUAAAAAUUGUAAAAAAUGAAAAGAAGGCCAUCCAGGACCGAAAUGAAUCACACUGAAACGACGAGGGACUGGCUAGGAAAUAUUCCCAAUCCUUAUGAGCCUCGUUUCAGCAGGGACUCAAAUGUAAUCAGAAGAAAAUUAUUCAGCCGGAUUUAUAAAAAAAAUAAAUAAAGUGAAUGAAGGGGCCAAAUAGUGAGGCGCACAAAGACGGAGGGACCCCACGCAUAAAUAUCCCAAUAAUGGGAAACAUGCGGAUCCCCCUUGGGUACGGGUCGAAUUCAGGUUCCCUCCCUGAAACGACACCGUUUUGAGGCCUGUGGGGAGGGUCUGAAACUACGUCGUUUCGCAUGGCUAUUAAAGCCAAAAAAAAAAAAUUUAAAAUUUUCAUUUCUCUCAUUCCUUUUUAAAAAAAAACAGAAAUAGCCCCCAUCUUCUCUGCGAGGGUUUCGAAAGAACCCCUCUUGAGCCGUCGUCAUCAGCUCGCCGCUCCUCUACCGUGGGCGAUGGUCGGAGCGACAAAGGAUCAGUUUUCAGCCCUACUUCCAAAAGAAUCGAGGGCCACACCCUUUUCAGGCAAAAAAAAAACGAGAGAGAAGCCCUUUUACCUCGCUCUUGGAUUCGAUUCCGGUGACGGAGAAUAAGCUCCGACGACGCAACCCUGAGGCUGCUCCGGUAAGUAUCUCCUUCUCUUCUACUUUUAUUUUCGUAUUUAUAUGAGAAAAUAAAAAUAAAAUAAACUUAAGAUUAAAAUGAUAAAUAAUCCGAAAAUCACCUUAAAAGUUUAGAUCUUUUGUUUUUCUAUUCUAAAAUCUCGAAAGAAGAAGGUACAAGCAUGUUGAUGUGGCUUUUAUAGCCAAAUUACAACACUUUUUAUUUCUAUAUUUUUGUCGUUUUCUCGUUGUUUUCUCUGUUGCUUGCAUGUGGAUCUUGAUUUGCAGGUGGUGUCAAAGAAGCGUGCGAUGGCAGGUGACAGACGAGCCGAGUGGAGGUGGCAGAGGCGCACGGAGAAGCCUGAAGACGUGGUCAUGCGGCUAGGGUUUUCCCUUUUUACUUUUUUUGGCUAAAAAUUAGUUAAGGCUGUGGGCUGAUUGGACCUCUAGAGUUUUAAUAUUUAGGCUGUAAUUGGGUUGGCAACUUUGGUUUAAGUUUGUUGUAAAUGGACUGGGACAUUGGGCUUAUUUAUUAUGUUUAUUUUUUGACUUUAUUUUGUAAAUUAGGCCAGGCCAAAAUUGGCCUAUUACAAUAAUCUUUUGGAUCAAUCUUUUUUUUAUCCUUGUACUUCUUCUUGAGUGUUCGUUUUAUUUUAGAUUUUUUUUAUAUCAUGCUUAUCUUUAAGCAUAUUUUCUUUUCCACUUUUAAAUUGAAGGAAAGGUGCAU
This 1589-nucleotide long non-coding RNA is filed under the name Gossypium barbadense (sea-island cotton). Its description in RNAcentral is "long non-coding RNA (GBAR_LNC006010)". Lineage: Eukaryota; Viridiplantae; Streptophyta; Magnoliopsida; Malvales; Malvaceae. The record is from RNAcentral.